Molecule: ribosomal RNA, 904 nt
Filed under: uncultured bacterium
Lineage: Bacteria
Description: bacterial SSU rRNA
Rfam family: Bacterial small subunit ribosomal RNA
Source: RNAcentral
AGAGUUUGAUCCUGGCUCAGAGUGAACGCUAGCGGCGUGGUUAAGACAUGCAAGUCGAGCGAUGAAGUCCCUUCGGGGAUGGUAUAGCGGCAAACGGGUGCGUAACACGUGAGCAACCUGCCUUGAAGUGGGGGAUAGCCCGGGGAAACCCGGAUUAAUACCGCAUGUGGUGCCUUCUCGCAUGAGAAGUGGACCAAAGCUUGUAAAGGCGCUUCAAGAGGGGCUCGCGGCCUAUCAGCUUGUUGGUGAGGUAAAGGCUCACCAAGGCGAAGACGGGUAGCUGGUCUGAGAGGAUGAUCAGCCACACUGGGACUGAGAUACGGCCCAGACACCUACGGGUGGCAGCAGUUUCGAAUCAUUCACAAUGGGGGAAACCCUGAUGGUGCAACGCCGCGUGGAGGAUGAAGGCCUUCGGGUUGUAAACUCCUGUCACCAGGGAACAAACAGUCGGUUCGUAGCCGGCUCUGAGUUAACCUGGAGAGGAAGAGGUGGCUAACUCCGUGCCAGCAGCCGCGGUAAUACGGAGACCUCAAGCGUUACUCGGAUUCACUGGGCGUAAAGAGUAUGUAGGCUGUCUGGUAUGUCAGGUGUGAAAGCCCGGGGCUCAACCUCGGAAUUGCGCCUGAAACUACCGGACUCGAGGCCUGGAGAGGGGAGUGGAAUUCCUGGUGUAGCGGUGAAAUGCGUAGAUAUCAGGAGGAACACCAAUGGCGAAGGCAGCUCCCUGGACAGGUUCUGACGCUGAGAUACGAAAGCGUGGGUAGCGAAAGGGAUUAGAUACCCCUGUAGUCCACGCCGUAAACGUUGUACACUAGGUUUCGGAGGGCCUACCCCUUCGGAGCUCCAGCUAACGCGUUAAGUGUACCGCCUGAGGACUACGGCCGCAAGGCUAAAACUCAAAGGA